UACAGAGGGGGCAAGCGUUGUUCGGAAUUACUGGGCGUAAAGGGCGCGUAGGCGGCCUGCUAAGUCGAACGUGAAAUCCCCGGGCUCAACCCGGGAACUGCGUCCGAUACUGGCGGGCUUGAAUCCGGGAGAGGGAUGUGGAAUUCCAGGUGUAGCGGUGAAAUGCGUAGAUAUCUGGAGGAACACCGGUGGCGAAGGCGGCAUCCUGGACCGGUAUUGACACUGAGGCGCGAAAGCCAGGGGAGCAAACGGG
Molecule: ribosomal RNA, 253 nt
Filed under: uncultured bacterium
Lineage: Bacteria
Description: partial 16S ribosomal RNA
Rfam family: Bacterial small subunit ribosomal RNA
Source: RNAcentral